RNAcentral lists this transfer RNA (64 nucleotides) under Paraleius leontonychus. RNAcentral's name for it is "tRNA-Lys(ttt)". The record is from RNAcentral. Lineage: Eukaryota; Metazoa; Arthropoda; Arachnida; Sarcoptiformes; Scheloribatidae.
GCCAAUCUUAAGUUAAGCAAACUUGGAACCUUUUAAGUUCCCUACGCCCCUAAAGCAGAUGGCG